This 495-nucleotide ribosomal RNA is filed under the name uncultured bacterium. Its description in RNAcentral is "partial 16S ribosomal RNA". It matches the Rfam family "Bacterial small subunit ribosomal RNA", at positions 29 to 506 of the family's 1533-position model. The record is from RNAcentral.
AUGAACGCUGGCGGCGUGCCUCAUACCUGCAAGUCGCGCGAACAGACGAGGAGCUUGCUCCUCUGACGUUAGCGGCGGACGGGUGAGUAACACGUGGAUAACCUACCUAUAAGACUGGGAUAACUUCGGGAAACCGGAGCUAAUACCGGAUAAUAUAUUGAACCGCAUGGUUCAAUAGUGAAAGACGGUUUUGCUGUCACUUAUAGAUGGAUCCGCGCCGCAUUAGCUAGUUGGUAAGGUAACGGCUUACCAAGGCAACGAUGCGUAGCCGACCUGAGAGGGUGAUCGGCCACACUGGAACUGAGACACGGUCCAGACUCCUACGGGAGGCAGCAGUAGGGAAUCUUCCGCAAUGGGCGAAAGCCUGACGGAGCAACGCCGCGUGAGUGAUGAAGGUCUUCGGAUCGUAAAACUCUGUUAUUAGGGAAGAACAAAUGUGUAAGUAACUAUGCACGUCUUGACGGUACCUAAUCAGAAAGCCACGGCUAACUACGU